This 253-nucleotide ribosomal RNA is filed under the name uncultured bacterium. RNAcentral describes it as "partial 16S ribosomal RNA". It matches the Rfam family "Bacterial small subunit ribosomal RNA", at positions 524 to 776 of the family's 1533-position model. The record is from RNAcentral.
GACGUAGGGCGCGAGCGUUGUCCGGAUUUAUUGGGCGUAAAGAGCUCGUAGGCGGCUCGUUGCGUCAACCGUGAAAACCCGGGGCUUAACUUCGGGCUUGCGGUUGAUACGGGCGGGCUGGAGUUCGGUAGGGGAGACUGGAAUUCCUGGUGUAGCGGUGAAAUGCGCAGAUAUCAGGAGGAACACCAAUAGCGAAGGCAGCUCGCUGGGACGUUACUGACACUGAGGCGCGAAAGCGUGGGGAGCGAACAGG